This 379-nucleotide ribosomal RNA is filed under the name uncultured bacterium. RNAcentral's name for it is "bacterial SSU rRNA". It matches the Rfam family "Bacterial small subunit ribosomal RNA", at positions 30 to 418 of the family's 1533-position model. The record is from RNAcentral.
AUUGAACGCUGGCGGCAGGCCUAACACAUGCAAGUCGAGCGGGGUUUUCGGACCUAGCGGCGGACGGGUGAGUAAUGCGUAGGAAGCUACCCGACAGAGGGGGAUACCAGUUGGAAACGACUGUUAAUACCGCAUAAUGUCUACGGACCAAAGUGUGGGACCUUCGGGCCACAUGCUGUCGGAUGCGCCUACGUGGGAUUAGCUAGUUGGUGAGGUAAUGGCUCACCAAGGCGACGAUCCCGUAGCGUGGUUUGAGAGGAUGAUCAGCCACACUGGAACUGAGACACGGUCCAGACUCCUACGGGAGGCAGCAGUGGGGAAUAUUGGACCAAUGGGCGCAAGCCUGAUCCAGCCAUGCCGCGUGUGUGAAGAAGGCCUC